Molecule: non-coding RNA, 130 nt
Organism: Pteropus alecto (black flying fox)
Lineage: Eukaryota; Metazoa; Chordata; Mammalia; Chiroptera; Pteropodidae
Source: Rfam
CUGAAGAUCAAAUGAAGAUGAAGUAAAAGUACUCUAACAAGGAUGGAAGUGGUCCUUUCUACUAACCUACAAAACACAUAUAUGGUUAAGUAAUCGUAAACAACUUUGUGGCAUCUAACCAUGAUUUUUA